GAUGAAGAACGUAGCGAAAUGCGAUAAGUAAUGUGAAUUGCAGAAUUCAGUGAAUCAUCGAAUCUUUGAACGCACAUUGCACCUCUCGGUAUUCCGGGAGGUAUGCCUGUUCGAGCGUCAUUUGUACCCUCAAGCUCUGCUUGGUGUUGGGUGUUUGUUCCGCCUCUGUGUGUGAACUCGCCUCAAAACAAUUGGCAGCCGGCGUACUUGUUUCGGAGCGCAGCACAUUUUGCGAUCCAGAUCAACGUACAGCGGCAUCCAAGAAGCCUUAUUUAACGCUCUUGACCUCGGAUCAGGUAGGGAUACCCGCUGAACUUAAGCAUAUCAAUAACGGAGGA
RNAcentral lists this unclassified non-coding RNA (338 nucleotides) under soil metagenome. Its description in RNAcentral is "partial contains 5.8S ribosomal RNA, internal transcribed spacer 2, and large subunit ribosomal RNA". The stretch from base 1 to 120 matches the Rfam family "5.8S ribosomal RNA", at positions 35 to 154 of the family's 154-position model. The record is from RNAcentral.